Molecule: ribosomal RNA, 547 nt
Filed under: uncultured bacterium
Lineage: Bacteria
Description: partial 16S ribosomal RNA
Rfam family: Bacterial small subunit ribosomal RNA
Source: RNAcentral
UGGGGAAUUUUGGACAAUGGGCGAAAGCCUGAUCCAGCAAUGCCGCGUGUGUGAAGAAGGCCUUCGGGUUGUAAAGCACUUUUGUCCGGAAAGAAAUCCUUGGCUCUAAUACAGUCGGGGGGUGACGGUACCGGAAGAAUAAGCACCGGCUAACUACGUGCCAGCAGCCGCGGUAAUACGUAGGGUGCAAGCGUUAAUCGGAAUUACUGGGCGUAAAGCGUGCGCAGGCGGUUUGCUAAGACCGAUGUGAAAUCCCCGGGCUCAACCUGGGAACUGCAUUGGUGACUGGCAGGCUAGAGUAUGGCAGAGGGGGGUAGAAUUCCACGUGUAGCAGUGAAAUGCGUAGAGAUGUGGAGGAAUACCGAUGGCGAAGGCAGCCCCCUGGGCCAAUACUGACGCUCAUGCACGAAAGCGUGGGGAGCAAACAGGAUUAGAUACCCUGGUAGUCCACGCCCUAAACGAUGUCAACUAGUUGUUGGGGAUUCAUUUCCUUAGUAACGUAGCUAACGCGUGAAGUUGACCGCCUGGGGAGUACGGUCGCAAGAUU